GUAUAUAGUAGUAUACAGUAGUAUAUAGUAGUAUAUAGUAGUAUCUCACCACAGGUUGUUUGGUGAUGUAGUAAUACCAGGUGUAUACAGUAGUAUAUAGUAGUAUAUAGUAGUAUACAGUAGUAUAUAGUAGUAUAUAGUAGUAUACAGUAGUAUACAGUAGUAUAUAGUAGUAUCUCACCACAGGUUGUUUGGUGAUGUAGUAAUACCAGGUGUAUAUAGUAGUAUAUAGUAGUAUAUAGUAGUAUCUCACCACAGGUUGUUUGGUGAUGUUGUAAUACCAGGUGUAUAUAGUAGUAUAUAGUAGUAUAUAGUAGUAUCUCACCACAGGUUGUUUGGUGAUGUUGUAAUACCAGGUGUUUAUAGUAGUAUAUAGUAGUAUAUAGUAGCAUCUCACCACAGGUUGUUUGGUGAUGUAGUAAUACCAGGUGUUUAUAGUAGUAUAUAGUAGUAUAUAGUAGCAUCUCACCACAGGUUGUUUGGUGAUGUAGUAAUACCAGGUGUUUAUAGUAGUAUACAGUAGUAUAUAGUAGUAUAUAGUAGUAUCUCACCACAGGUUGUUUGGUGAUGUAGUAAUACCAGGUGUAUAUAGUAGUAUACAGUAGUAUAUAGUAGUAUAUAGUAGUAUCUCACCACAGGUUGUUUGGUGAUGUUGUAAUACCAGGUGUAUAUAGUAGUAUAUAGUAGUAUAUAGUAGUAUCUCACCACAGGUUGUUUGGUGAUGUAGUAAUACCAGGUGUUUAUAGUAGUAUAUAGUAGUAUAUAGUAGUAUCUCACCACAGGUUGUUUGGUGAUGUUGUAAUACCAGGUGUAUAUAGUAGUAUAUAGUAGUAUAUAGUAGUAUACAGUAGUAUAUAGUAGUAUAUAGUAGUAUCUCACCACAGGUUGUUUGGUGAUGUAGUAAUACCAGGUGUUUAUAGUAGUAUAUAGUAGUAUAUAGUAGCAUCUCACCACAGGUUGUUUGGUGAUGUAGUAAUACCAGGUGUUUAUAGUAGUAUAUAGUAGUAUAUAGUAGUAUAUAGUAGUAUAUAGUAGUAUAUAG
Long non-coding RNA from Oncorhynchus keta (chum salmon), 1042 nucleotides. RefSeq lists it as uncharacterized. The transcript is spliced from 6 exons. The record is from RefSeq and is a predicted model, not a curated record. NCBI's taxonomy places the organism in Eukaryota, Metazoa, Chordata, Actinopteri, Salmoniformes, Salmonidae.